ACUCCUACGGGAGGCAGCAGUGGGGAAUAUUGCACAAUGGGCGCAAGCCUGAUGCAGCCAUGCCGCGUGUAUGAAGAAGGCCUUCGGGUUGUAAAGUACUUUCAGCAGUGAGGAAGGUGGGUAUGUUAAUAGCAUAUUCUAUUUGUACGUUAGCUGCAGAAGAAGCACCGGCUAACUCCGUGCCAGCAGCCGCGGUAAUACGGAGGGUGCGAGCGUUAAUCGGAAUUACUGGGCGUAAAGCGCAUGCAGGUGGUUUGUUAAGUCAGAUGUGAAAGCCCGGGGCUCAACCUCGGAAUUGCAUUUGAAACUGGCAAACUAGAGUACUGUAGAGGGGGUAGAAUUUCAGGUGUAGCGGUGAAAUGCGUAGAGAUCGUGAAGGAUACCGGUGGCGAAGGCGGCCCCUGGACAGAUACUGACACUCAGAUGCGAAAGCGUGGGAGCAAACAGGAUUAGAU
This 455-nucleotide ribosomal RNA is filed under the name uncultured bacterium. Its description in RNAcentral is "bacterial SSU rRNA". It matches the Rfam family "Bacterial small subunit ribosomal RNA", at positions 335 to 783 of the family's 1533-position model. The record is from RNAcentral.